UUAAGUUCAGCGGGUAGUCCUACCUGAUUUGAGAUCAAACGUUCAAAAAGCUGUCCUCGCUGAGGAGAGACGUUUAUGAGCCCCAGCGAACCUCCAUAUCACUGAAGGUUAUCUGAUGGAAAACCACAAGCGUAGAUAGUUAUCACACCUGUGAUGCCACCAAACACUGGCAAGCUGAUUCAUUUGAGAGGAGCCGACCC
This 200-nucleotide unclassified non-coding RNA is filed under the name Tomentella sp. RNAcentral's name for it is "partial internal transcribed spacer 2". Lineage: Eukaryota; Fungi; Basidiomycota; Agaricomycetes; Thelephorales; Thelephoraceae. The record is from RNAcentral.